GCGCCCGUAGCUCAAUGGAUAGAGCGUCUGGCUUCGAACCAGCAGGCUGGAGGUUCGAGUCCUCUCGGGCGCA
RNAcentral lists this transfer RNA (73 nucleotides) under candidate division WOR-1 bacterium RIFCSPHIGHO2_02_FULL_45_12. RNAcentral's name for it is "tRNA-Arg". It matches the Rfam family "tRNA". Rfam says of the family: Transfer RNA (tRNA) molecules are approximately 80 nucleotides in length. Their secondary structure includes four short double-helical elements and three loops (D, anti-codon, and T loops). The record is from RNAcentral. RNAcentral also lists the same sequence under 2 other names. Lineage: Bacteria; Bacillati.